CCCUAUGGGGUGCAGCAGCUGAGGAACUUUUACAAUGCUCGCAAGAGUGAUCGAGUAAGCCAGAGUGUUUCUCUUAGAGAAACUUUUGUCUGCUGUAAAAAGGCAGAUGAAUAAGGACUGGGCAAGACCGGUGCCAGCCGCCGCGGUAAUACCGGCGGUCCGAGUCGCAUCCACAUUUAUUGGGUCUAAAACAUCCGUAGCUUGUUUUGUAAGUUUCUGGUGAAAUCUGAUAUCUCAAGUAUCAGGCGUGCAAGAAAUACUACAUUGCUAGAGACCGGAAGACGUAAGGAGUACUGUUGAGGUAGCGGUAAAAUGUGUUAAUCUUGAUAGGACUAACAAUGGCGAAGGCACCUUACGAGUACGGAUCUGACAGUGAGGGAUGAAGGCUAGGGGCGCAAAAGGGAUUAGAUACCCCUGUAGUCCUAGCAGUAAACACUGCUCACUAAACAUCAGUACCUCUUCGAGAGGUAUUGGUGCUGUAGGGAAGCCGAAGAGUGAGCUACCUGGGAAGUAUAGUCGCAAGGCCGAAACUUAAAGGAAUUGGCGGGGAGGCACUACAACGGGUGACGCGUGCGGUUUAAUUAGAUUCUACACCGUGAACCUUACCAGGAGCGACAGCAGAAUGAAGGUCAGUCUAAAGGGCUUACCUGACGCGCUGAGAGGAGGUGCAUGGCC
RNAcentral lists this ribosomal RNA (675 nucleotides) under uncultured archaeon. RNAcentral describes it as "bacterial SSU rRNA". It matches the Rfam family "Archaeal small subunit ribosomal RNA", at positions 321 to 999 of the family's 1478-position model. The record is from RNAcentral.